ACCUGGCUGGCUCAGUCCGUGUAGCACGUGACUCUCAAUCUCGGGGUUGUGAGUUCAAGCCCCACGUUGGGUG
Mustela putorius furo (domestic ferret) is the source of this 73-nucleotide non-coding RNA. The record is from Rfam. NCBI's taxonomy places the organism in Eukaryota, Metazoa, Chordata, Mammalia, Carnivora, Mustelidae.